Molecule: ribosomal RNA, 643 nt
Filed under: uncultured marine eukaryote
Lineage: Eukaryota
Description: SSU rRNA
Rfam family: Eukaryotic small subunit ribosomal RNA
Source: RNAcentral
UGCGGUUAAAAAGCUCGUAGUUGGAUGUCUGCCAGAGGCAGCCGGUCCGCACUUAGUGCGUGUAUGCUGGUGUUGGUUUGGGCAUGCCUCUUGGGGAUCGUUGCUGUGCUUAGUUGCAUGGUGCGGAAUUCAAGACGUUUACUUUGAGGAAAUUAGAGUGGUUACGGCAAGCUAUCGCUUUGAAUACAUUAGCAUGGAAUAAUAAUAUAGGGCGUAAGUUCUAUCUUGUUGGUUUCUAGAACAUACGCAAUGAUUAAUAGGGACAAUUGGGGGCAUUCGUAUUAACGCGUCAGAGGUGGAAUUCUUAGAUUGCGUUACGACGAACUACUGCGAAAGCAUUUGCCAAGGAUGUUUUCAUUGAUCAAGAACGAAAGUAUGGGGAUCGAAGACGAUUAGAUACCGUCGUAGUCUAUACCAUAAACUAUGCCAAUUAGAGAUUGGAGGUCGUUUAUUUUAUGACUCCUCCAGCACCUUAUGAGAAAUCAAAAUUUUUGGGUUCCGGGGGGAGUAUGGUCGCAAGGCUGAAACUUAAAGGAAUUGACGGAAGGGCACCACCAGGAGUGGAGCCUGCGGCUUAAUUUGACUCAACACGGGAAAACUUACCAGGUCCAGACAUAGUAAGGAUUGACAGAUUGAUAGCUCU